This 301-nucleotide ribosomal RNA is filed under the name uncultured bacterium. RNAcentral describes it as "partial 16S ribosomal RNA". It matches the Rfam family "Bacterial small subunit ribosomal RNA", at positions 509 to 807 of the family's 1533-position model. The record is from RNAcentral.
CAGUAGCCGCGGUAAUACGAAAGGUGCAAGCGUUAAUCGGAAUUACUGGGCGUAAAGCGCGCGUAGGUGGUUCAUUAAGUUGGAUGUGAAAUCCCUGAGCUUAACUUAGGAAUUGCAUUCGAUACUGGGAAGCUAGAGUAUGGGAGAGGAUGGUAGAAUUCCAGGUGUAGCGGUGAAAUGCGUAGAGAUCUGGAGGAAUACCGAUGGCGAAGGCAGCCAUCUGGCCUAAUACUGACGCUGAGGUACGAAAGCAUGGGGAGCAAACAGGAUUAGAUACCCCCGUAGUCCCUGUCUCUUAUAC